AGCAGCCGCGGUAAUUCCAGCUCCAAUAGCGUAUAUUAAAGUUGUUGCAGUUAAAAAGCUCGUAGUUGAAUUUCGGGAUCAAUUAAUUGGUCGUGCCUCUGGUACGUACUGGUUUUAUUGGUUUCUCCCUUCUGACGAACCAUGAUGUCAUUAAUUUGGUGUCGUGGAGAAUCAGGACUGUUACUUUGAAAAAUUAGAGUGUUUAAAGCAAGCUAACGCUUGAAUACAUUAGCAUGGAAUAAUGAAAUAGGACGUUUGAUCCUAUUUUGUUGGUUUCUAGGAUCGACGUAAUGAUUAAUAGGGAUAGUUGGGGGCAUUAGUAUUCAAUUGUCAGAGGUGAAAUUCUUGGAUUUAUUGAAGACUAACUACUGCGAAAGCAUUUGCCAAGGAUGUUUUCAUUAAUCAAGAACGAAAGUUAGGGGAUCGAAGACGAUCAGAUACCGUCGUAGUCUUAACUAUAAACUAUGCCGACUAGGGAUCGGAUGAUGUUUAAUUUUUUAAUGUACUCAUUCGGCGCCUU
This 520-nucleotide ribosomal RNA is filed under the name uncultured Glomus. RNAcentral describes it as "SSU rRNA". It matches the Rfam family "Eukaryotic small subunit ribosomal RNA", at positions 569 to 1089 of the family's 1831-position model. The record is from RNAcentral. Lineage: Eukaryota; Fungi; Glomeromycota; Glomeromycetes; Glomerales; Glomeraceae.